This 58-nucleotide transfer RNA is filed under the name Fischerella thermalis CCMEE 5330. Its description in RNAcentral is "tRNA-Phe". It matches the Rfam family "tRNA", at positions 8 to 63 of the family's 71-position model. From Rfam's summary of the family: Transfer RNA (tRNA) molecules are approximately 80 nucleotides in length. Their secondary structure includes four short double-helical elements and three loops (D, anti-codon, and T loops). The record is from RNAcentral. Lineage: Bacteria; Bacillati; Cyanobacteriota; Cyanophyceae; Nostocales; Hapalosiphonaceae.
UAGCUCAGUUGGUAGAGCAGAGGACUGAAAAUCCUCGUGUCACCGGUUCAAAUCCGGU